ACCGGCGCACGGGUGCGUAACGCGUAUGCAACCUACCUUUGACACGGGAAUAGCCCGAAGAAAUUCGGAUUAAUACCCGAUGGUAUCAUUUGGUGACAUCGCCGGAUGAUUAAAGAUUUAUCGGUCAGAGAUGGGCAUGCGUCUGAUUAGCUAGUUGGUGAGGUAACUGCUCACCAAGGCUACGAUCAGUAGGGGUUCUGAGAGGAUGAUCCCCCACACCGGUACUGAGACACGGACCGGACUCCUACGGGAGGCAGCAGUAAGGAAUAUUGGUCAAUGGGCGCAAGCCUGAACCAGCCACGCCGCGUGCAGGAAGACGGCCCUACGGGUUGUAAACUGCUUUUGUUUGGGAAGAAACCCUCCUUUGCGAAGGAGACUGACGGUACCAGACGAAUAAGCACCGGCUAACUCCGUGCCAGCAGCCGCGGUAAUACGGAGGGUGCAAGCGUUAUCCGGAUUUAUUGGGUUUAAAGGGUGCGUAGGCGGCCUGUUAAGUCAGUGGUGAAAGUCGGCAGCUCAACUGUCGAAUUGCCUUUGAUACUGGCAGGCUUGAAUGAAGUUGAAGAGGGCGGAAUGUGACAUGUAGCGGUGAAAUGCAUAGAUAUGUCACAGAACACCGAUUGCGAAGGCAGCUCUCUAAGCUUGUAUUGACGCUGAUGCACGAAAGCGUGGGGGAUCAAACAGGAUUAGAUACCCUGGUAGUCCACGCCGU
RNAcentral lists this ribosomal RNA (712 nucleotides) under uncultured Flavobacteriales bacterium. Its description in RNAcentral is "bacterial SSU rRNA". It matches the Rfam family "Bacterial small subunit ribosomal RNA", at positions 94 to 803 of the family's 1533-position model. The record is from RNAcentral. Lineage: Bacteria; Pseudomonadati; Bacteroidota; Flavobacteriia; Flavobacteriales.